CAUGCUAAGUCGAGCGGUAGCACAAGGGAGCUUGCUUUCCUGGGUGACGAGCGGCGGACGGGUGAGUAAUGUCUGGGAAACUGCCUGAUGGAGGGGGAUAACUACUGGAAACGGUAGCUAAUACCGCAUAACGUCGCAAGACCAAAGAGGGGGACCUUCGGGCCUCUUGCCAUCAGAUGUGCCCAGAUGGGAUUAGCUAGUAGGUGGGGUAAUGGCUCACCUAGGCGACGAUCCCUAGCUGGUCUGAGAGGAUGACCAGCCACACUGGAACUGAGACACGGUCCAGACUCCUACGGGAGGCAGCAGUGGGGAAUAUUGCACAAUGGGCGCAAGCCUGAUGCAGCCAUGCCGCGUGUGUGAAGAAGGCCUUCGGGUUGUAAAGCACUUUCAGCGAGGAGGAAGGUGGUGAGCUUAAUACGUUCAUCAAUUGACGUUACUCGCAGAAGAAGCACCGGCUAACUCCGUGCCAGCAGCCGCGGUAAUACGGAGGGUGCAAGCGUUAAUCGGAAUUACUGGGCGUAAAGCGCACGCAGGCGGUUUGUUAAGUCAGAUGUGAAAUCCCCGGGCUCAACCUGGGAACUGCAUUUGAAACUGGCAAGCUAGAGUCUCGUAGAGGGGGGUAGAAUUCCAGGUGUAGCGGUGAAAUGCGUAGAGAUCUGGAGGAAUACCGGUGGCGAAGGCGGCCCCCUGGACGAAGACUGACGCUCAGGUGCGAAAGCGUGGGGAGCAAAACAGGAUUAGAUACCCUGGUAG
This 753-nucleotide ribosomal RNA is filed under the name Serratia marcescens. RNAcentral's name for it is "bacterial SSU rRNA". It matches the Rfam family "Bacterial small subunit ribosomal RNA", at positions 54 to 793 of the family's 1533-position model. The record is from RNAcentral. Lineage: Bacteria; Pseudomonadati; Pseudomonadota; Gammaproteobacteria; Enterobacterales; Yersiniaceae.